UUGAUACUCCCUCCAUCCGAAAUUCCUUGUCAGAGAAAUGGAUGUAUCUAGACUUAUUUUAGUUCUACAUACAUCCAUUUUUAUCAAUUUAUGUGACAAGUAAUUUCAGAUGGAGGCAGUAUUGU
This is a non-coding RNA of Triticum aestivum (bread wheat), 125 nucleotides long. The record is from Rfam. Lineage: Eukaryota; Viridiplantae; Streptophyta; Magnoliopsida; Poales; Poaceae.